Molecule: long non-coding RNA, 4867 nt
Organism: Homalodisca vitripennis (glassy-winged sharpshooter)
Lineage: Eukaryota; Metazoa; Arthropoda; Insecta; Hemiptera; Cicadellidae
Exons: 2
Source: RefSeq, a predicted model, not a curated record
UAUAAUGUUGAUUAACAGUUCUAGGGUUAAUUGUUUUUUUUUUUAUUUUUCUGCUAUUUAUUAUUUUUAAAUAUUGUAUAUACAUUUAUUAUUAUUUUCAUAGCUCUAAUACUCUAUUCUUGUGGUCAUUAAACCUAAAAAGCUUAUAACCCUAAAAGUCUUAUAAUCAUAAUGACUGGUAACACACAUAAGCCAGAUGUGCUGCCAGUACAAAUUUACAAAUAAUAUCAAAAUAAUAUUUUUAUGACAUCAGUUCAGAGCUCAAAAAUUACUAUAGUUGAGGAUCUAUAUAGGGAACAGUAUAUGUCAUAUGUACUUGAGAUUUAGAAGUUCACACCCAAUAAAUUGAUAACAGUCCUACAAGACUUUGAUACUGAGUGUCUGUCAAUUGUCUUGAAAGUAUUACAGUGAUUCAUCAGUUGUUUUAAAUCAAGUAUAAGAAGUAGAACAAAUUAGUUAAGUUAAAGUUAGAUGUAGGAAAUGGUAUUUUUUGUCCCUGAUUGGACAGAGUGCUGUGUAAACAUUGAGUCUUUACCCCACAUCUUGAAGAAAAAAGCCACCAAAGAAUGAUACUCUAUGAAAUACAAAACAAGCUAAUAAGUUAGACGUAAUUGACAGAAACGUCUUGACAAUAUUGAUAAUUUGACAGUUCAGUCAAAUACAAAGCUUUAUUUUUGUUCUGAUACUCCAUUUAACAGUUCAAGUUCAGAUAACUAGUACAACAAAAUUUUAGCUUUGAAAAUCUUUAAACUGCCACAGUUAUUACAAGAAUAUUGAACAAUUGGACGUAUAUCUCAUUUGAGAGUUUGUUGGUAUUAUUCAGCUAUUUAGGUACAUUUAUAGAUUAAGUCAGUGGUUAUUUAAAGUGAACCAGAUAGCUCUAAUAAGUACAUGUGACAGUUUUAAAUGUGAAUUCUUUCUUGGACAACAAACAAUCAAGAAUUGUUUGGAAUUAUGAUCGUUCACGUUUAUUUACAAACAGAUCAUUCUGUUUUCCAUUCAGUUAAAUUUAAUACAGACGAUUGCUAUAAAUUUACAAUCUCAUAUUAGAUUUAUACUAUUGCUUAUUUGGUCAAUUAAAAAAAGGUUAACUAAUAUACAAUAUUUGAAAGGUUCAUCACACAAGCAAAACUGUUGUUCAACUGUGAAAAAAUACAGUACUGUUGAUGUUCACUUUUCAAGUUGACAAUAACUUUGAUUUGUAUAGGUUCAAUGGCUGUGACAGAAGCAGCUGUGAUGCUCAUGGUUGUCACUAUAGUUGUAUUUAAUAAUUUAAUAUAUGGUAAGUUAUUUUAGGUGUCAUAGAUUACAGAUAAAAUGUUAUUUGGAUGUUGAAACUUUGUUUUGCAUAUUAACACAUUUACUGCGGCAGACGCCUUAUGGUGCACAACACUAGGAAGAGUAGUUAGUCUCUCUCGUUAUAGAGCCGCAGUGAAGGUGGUAACUACAUGUGUAUUAUAGCUAGGCAGUUAUUUUACAAUAGUUAACAUGUUGACUGCGGCAGAACCUUAUGGUGUAACAGUAGGAAAUGUAGUUGGUCUCACUCAGUAUAGAGCCGCAGUGAAGGUGUUAGGAGCUGUUGUGCAAGAUUUUUGGAUCUUGAAUUAACAUAAGAUUUUAUUUUUAAUAAAGCUAAUAUUGUGUUUUAUUUUUAUACUAAUUAAAGCUAAUAUUGUGUCAAAAUAAGCAACUGUGGGCCCAUAGCCCCAUAAAAGAACAUUAAACCACCCACUUGUCACUAAGCCUAUUUGGCCAAAAAAGCACAUCAUAUUCACCUGAUUUAGAUUUUAAGAAUUUAAGUUAAUGAUAUUUGGUUUAAUUUUUGUUUAUUGCAAAAUUGACUGUAUCCAAAAGAGCUAUAUAACUUAGUUUAUUCACAUAAGUUAUUUUAUCAGUAGGUCUUAUUUUUCAGAUAAGUUUAAAUAGUGUAUUAGGAUUUUAUAAAUUAACCCGUUAGGACUUUAACCUAUUACAUAUUAUUAUUUCUCAAUUUUGGUUGCAAGGUUUUACAAGAAAUAUAGUUUAAAAGAUAACAUUUACACGUAUCAAACUCUUACUGUGCAGUGUGUACAGUUUGUUAUAAAUAAGUUAGCAUUUCAACAAAGAAUUUGUUAAAUAAAACUAAAGUUAUACACACUAAUUAGCUGGGUCCAUAUAAGUCACACCUUUAUAAUUCAUGUUAGUUACCAUACAGAACUUCAUGAAAAAAUAUUUGUAUAUUGUGUAUAAACUAAACAAUAUGCAGCCAAAACUUGGCAGGUUGAAAUUGUACAAGGAAUCUCAAAAGUGAAUGAAAAACAAUCCAGUAUACUACUUGGAUGGAUUCUUGAUGCUUCAGAAAAAAUCUAUCAAUGAAUAACUUGAAUUACAUGUAUGUUAUUCAACCUAUAAUGUAUAAAUAAAUUAGAUAUUUCACAAAACCCUACAACCAAAAGUUUGGGAAUAAACCAGUUUAAACUUAGUAGUGACUUUUAAGGAUAAAUAUCAAGAUUGCCUUCAAUAGAACCAGUCCUUAAGUAAUUUAAAGCAACAAUUUUAACUUUAACACUGUUUGUUAAAUAAUUAUCCAUUAAAUUAUUCAUUACACUAGUGGUGUGCAGUGACUGAAAAUCUGAAAACCUGGAUAUUAAAAAUUGUUUCCAUUAAAAAUAUGUUUGUCAUAAAUUUUAUAAAAAUGUCGUCUGGAUUGUGAAAAUAGUGUUUAUAAGAAGAAAAUACUAGAAUCAUUUCUAUUUGUUGCCAUUAACAUGACAAAAUCUCAUCAAGAAAGAAAAUGCAAUAACUGUGGUAUUUUGUUAAAGUGUAUUCAAUAAGAAUUCUUCCAGGCUAUAGUAGGGUCAUUCUAGAAGCUAUCUCUGUAAUGAAGUCUUCAAAGCUUACCCACUCUUAUAACGCAAGUCCUGGGGGAGAUGGUUGAACAGUUUUCUACCCAUGACCCAUAUACAAGAAGUAACUGUUUAGAAUGUUUUAUGUAUAUUCCGAGAUCUAUGUAUUUGUAUUUUCUUGAUUGGAGCAACAUGCUUGCUUAGGUAUGUUUAUUUACGUUUGGAAAAUAUCGUAGGACUCCUUCAUAUUAUGUGAUAAGUGCUUUCAUUGAGUAGUAUAAGGAAAGAUUUUGAAAAUUGUGUGCGAAGCCGCAGGUAGCAGCUAGUCUUAUAAAUAUAAAUAAAUUACUAAAUGUGUUCCUAAGAGCUAAUCUCGGUUAGAACUGGACCAAUUCGGCUAAUUGAAAUGCUUUUGAUUGUUGCUUUUUGAAAUGUUCGUUGGAAGUCCAAAGAAGGGUAUAUACUAAGAAUAAUAAAGGAAGUAAUAUGAAGAGAAAGAUUGGUAAAGUUUCUGGGCUUAAGUAUGUAUGUGUAUAUUAUUCAUCGCGACAAGGCAAUUUCAACUGUAGUUCUGAAAAUAUCUUGAACUGAAAGAAUAUUGCAAGAGCCGGAAGUAGACCCUUUUUGGCUGAGUAAGUUUCUGAGACCUGCAUACAUACAUAUAAUUUUUGAUCGGGACGAUAAAAAGAACUUAAAUAUGACAAAGUAAAUGCCUUAGAUCCAAAGGAAAUUAAAACUGAAGUAAACACUUUUAGAUCGAAUUAGUCUUUCAAUCCUACUUAGGUAAUAUAUUUUUCCUCAUGUAAGGCAAACUCAACUAUGGAUCUGGAAAUAUCUUAGAUUAGAAUUAGAUUAUGAGGGUUGAAAGUAAAUGGUUUUUAUACUGGAGUAGAUAUUUGAGACCUAUGUAUGUAUUUUCUUGUUCGGGGCAAUAAGGCAAACUCAGCUGUGACGUUGGAAAUAUAUUGCAGUCAAACCAGAAAUGCUUCUUUAAGCACAAAACCCAAUAUAAGAAUCAGUCACCUAACCUCUGAUCCUCUUAACCAGGAAAACUGAAAUAAUAUGGCCUGAUGUAUGCCUACUUAUGAUUGAAAAAUAUCAUAGGACACCAUUAUAAGAAAAGAAAUUUUCACUUUCUUUUUCACUGUGCACCACUUUUAUGAUAGUUCUUCUUAUAUCAAUUUUACAGAGUUGUGAAGUACAGUAGAUUAGAAGUAUUAGCUUCUUGUGAUUUACUAUAAACAUUUCAAAUUUAAUUCAAAUGUAGAAUUAGAGUUUUAGAUCUUCGCUUUUUCAUAGUUCAGUAUUACAUUUGACUCUGUUGUAGUGUUCCUACUACUGGUGUGGAUAAUGUACAAAUAUAAUUAAACAGGAUUAUUUACAAAUCCUAAUCAGAUAAUGGACUAAAAAAUAAUGAAGGUGAUUUUAAGAUGGUAAUUAAUAUUAAUUCCAGUCUAUAUUAAAUAAGCGGUAUCUUAACCCUCUGUCUACCUGGGAUUGGAAAUUAAUUUUGUCAUAUUGUUACAGAAAACUAACUUAUUGUUACAAGCUUCAAACUGACUACCUUUAUAUUUUUAUAACCUAUAUUGUUUGUUUUUUGUGUUAAAUCAAAUUUGCUCAUGUUUAGCAUUGUUGAUCUUAUUAUUUUAUGUAAUUCUCAAAUAUUUAAUAAAAUUUUGGAAAAAGGAUUUGGAUGAAAAUGUUACUUAAACUAGUAGGAAAUGUAAAAGGAGACUAAUUAGGAAAAUACUGCAGAGUGCCAGAGAAUGUCCUCGGCCAGGUAGACGGAGGAUCAGGAGAUAGGUUACUUCAUACAGACUGUAGAUAUGUGCAUUUAAUGUGCUACACAGUUCAGUAGUACCAACACUACAACUCUGAGAGUGAAUAAAUGACAAAACUGUAUGUGAUGUAUUUGUGGUGGAAUAGAGUAGACAUUAAUAAAUAAUGUGUGAUGUUAUACACUAUUUACAAAGAAGAAACUUGUUAUAUUCUGAUUGUAAUUUAUCAGUGCUGUGUUAUAAUAAAACUAUUUUGUUACUGCA